CAGUCGCCGCGGGAAUACGGAGGGUGCAAGUGUUAAUCGGAAUUACUGGGCGUAAAGCGUGCGUAGGCGGUUCGUUAAGUCUGUUGUGAAAGCCCCGGGCUCAACCUGGGAAUGGCAAUGGAUACUGGCGAGCUAGAGUGUGUCAGAGGAUGGUGGAAUUCCCGGUGUAGCGGUGAAAUGCGUAGAGAUCGGGAGGAACAUCAGUGGCGAAGGCGGCCAUCUGGGACAACACUGACGCUGAGGCACGAAAGCGUGGGGAGCAAACAGGAUUAGAUACCCCCGUAGUCCCUGUCUCUUAUAC
This 301-nucleotide ribosomal RNA is filed under the name uncultured bacterium. Its description in RNAcentral is "partial 16S ribosomal RNA". It matches the Rfam family "Bacterial small subunit ribosomal RNA", at positions 509 to 807 of the family's 1533-position model. The record is from RNAcentral.